RNAcentral lists this non-coding RNA (221 nucleotides) under Martinezella lusitana. The record is from RNAcentral. Lineage: Bacteria; Pseudomonadati; Pseudomonadota; Alphaproteobacteria; Hyphomicrobiales; Rhizobiaceae.
ACUAUAUAUAGUGUUCGAGGUUCCUUCGAUUCGCAAGGAUUGGAGGCUAAGAUGGGAAUACGGUCGCCGAGCAUGAUGCUCGUCAAGCCGUAGCUGCCCCCGCAACUGUGAGCGGCGAGUAUUUGUUCUGCAUGUGCCACUGAGGAAUAUAUGCCUCGGGAAGGCAAGAGCAAAUACUUCGACCCGCAAGCCAGGAGACCUGCCUCGAGCAAUAGCGUCCA